GGGGCCGUCUCCUAGCCAGGUCGAGGGAGCCGGGCUCCAGACCCGGUAAUUCGUGGGUUCAAAUCCCACCGGCCCCACCA
RNAcentral lists this transfer RNA (80 nucleotides) under archaeon. RNAcentral describes it as "tRNA-Trp". It matches the Rfam family "tRNA". From Rfam's summary of the family: Transfer RNA (tRNA) molecules are approximately 80 nucleotides in length. Their secondary structure includes four short double-helical elements and three loops (D, anti-codon, and T loops). The record is from RNAcentral.